Molecule: small RNA, 1221 nt
Filed under: Pongo abelii (Sumatran orangutan)
Lineage: Eukaryota; Metazoa; Chordata; Mammalia; Primates; Hominidae
Description: retained intron
Source: RNAcentral
AACGCUCCUCACCUAGCCCCUGUCCUGAGGGUGCUCCUAACCCUAGAGCCAGCUUUAAAGGGGCAGGCCCCUUCUCCUGCCCCAGCCCCACCCACCGGGCCCCCAUUCUCCGUCUUCCAGGCCCAGCGCUCCCUUACAGAACUCCCCCGCACCUUGUCUCGCUCGCUCCGCCCCUCCUUCCCAGCCACAGCUGGAGGUCCUGGGCGCACCUGCAGAGCCGGCGGCUUGCUGGGGGCAUGCGCUCCAUGAAGGCUCUGCAGAAGGCCCUGAGCCGGGCCGGCAGUCACUGCGGGCGAGGAGGCUGGGGUCACCUGAGCCGGAGCCCCCUCCUUGGCGGGGGCGUCCGGCACCACCUCAGUGAGGCCGCGGCGCAGGGCAGAGAGACGCCACACAGCCACCAGCCGCAGCACCAGGAUCAUGAUUCAUCAGAAAGUGGCAUGCUGUCCCGCCUGGGUGAUUUGCUCUUUUACACUAUUGCUGAAGGACAGGAACGAAUCCCUAUCCACAAGUUCACCACUGCACUAAAGGCCACUGGACUGCAGACAUCAGAUCCUCGGCUCCGAGACUGCAUGAGCGAGAUGCACCGCGUGGUCCAAGAGUCCAGUAGUGGUGGCCUCUUGGACCGAGAUCUCUUCCGAAAGUGUGUGAGCAGCAACAUUGUGCUCCUGACCCAGGCAUUCCGAAAGAAGUUUGUCAUUCCUGAUUUUGAGGAGUUCACGGGCCAUGUGGAUCGCAUCUUUGAGGAUGCCAAAGAGCUCACUGGAGGCAAAGUGACAGCCUACAUCCCUCAGCUGGCCAAGUCAAACCCAGACCUGUGGGGUGUCUCCCUGUGCACUGUGGAUGGUCAGCGGCACUCUGUGGGCCACACAAAGAUCCCCUUCUGCCUGCAGUCCUGUGUGAAGCCCCUCACCUAUGCCAUCUCCAUAAGCACCCUAGGCACUGACUACGUGCACAAGUUUGUGGGCAAAGAGCCAAGUGGCCUGCGCUACAACAAGCUCUCCCUCAAUGAGGAAGGAAUCCCCCAUAACCCCAUGGUCAAUGCUGGUGCCAUUGUUGUCAGCUCCCUGAUCAAGAUGGACUGUAACAAAGCAGAGAAGUUUGAUUUUGUAAGUUCUCUUGCUACUUAGCCCCUGGCUGCAUUUCUCCAUGGCAUGCUGUCCUCUCCAGCUGCCCCAGUGGCUCUCUAACCAGGUGCACCAGCCCAUACUAGAAGCCUUAUUU